Molecule: ribosomal RNA, 419 nt
Filed under: bacterium
Lineage: Bacteria
Description: partial 16S ribosomal RNA
Rfam family: Bacterial small subunit ribosomal RNA
Source: RNAcentral
UGGGGGAUAUUGCACAAUGGGCGAAAGCCUGAUGCAGCGACGCCGCGUGGGGGAUGAAGGCCUUCGGGUUGUAAACUUCUUUUGCUCUGAACAAGGCAUGCUAAUGGGUGUGUUGAGUGUAGGGGUUGAUUAGCGCCGGCUAACUACGUGCCAGCAGCCGCGGUAAUACGUAGGGGGCGAGCGUUGUCCGGAAUUAUUGGGCGUAAAGGGCUUGUAGGUGGCUGGUUGCGUCUGUCGUGAAAGCUCAUGGCUUAACUGUGGGUUUGCGGUGGGUACGGGCUGGCUUGAGUGCAGUAGGGGAGGCUGGAAUUCCUUGUGUAGCGGUGGAAUGCGCAUAUAUCAGGAGGAAUACCGGUGGCGAAGGCGGGUCUCUGGGCUGUUACUGACACUGAGGAGCGAAAGCAUGGGGAGCGAACAGG